Long non-coding RNA from Bos taurus (domestic cattle), 496 nucleotides. The record is from Ensembl. Lineage: Eukaryota; Metazoa; Chordata; Mammalia; Artiodactyla; Bovidae.
UGUCUGGGUUGCCUGCCUGGGGGAACCAAGAAGAUGUUGUUGAAGGCGGGAUCCUCUGGCCACCUUGCUGUACCCUUCCAGCCCUUCACCGCUCUAAGCUUAUCACCUCUAACUGGUCGUGGUGUCUGCUCUGUUGCCCCCUGCAAUUCCUGCUCCAUCCUGCAGCCAGAUGGUCUUCUUAAGGAUUGUUGCUGAAGCUCCAAUACUUUGGCCACCUGAUGUGAAGAGCCGACUCAUUGGAAAAGACCCUGAUGCUGGGAAAGAUUGAAGGCAAAAGGAGAACAGGGUGGCAGAGGAUGAGAUGGUUGGAUAGUAGCACUGGCUCAGUGGACAUAAAUUUGAGCAAACUCCGGAAGACAGUGGAGGACUGAGGAGCCCGGCAUGCUGCAGCCCAUGGGAUCGCAAAGAAUUGGACAUGACUUAGCAACUGAACAAUUCCACUAUAUGAAUAUACUGCCAUUUCUCUAUCCAUUCUCCUAAUGACGGGCAUCUGGGA